GUGUUUGUUUCGACAGCACACACACUGAAACCGGAAUGAUACAGAGUGCAGCAUGGCUCCUGGGCAAGGAUGGCAUGCAAAUUCACCAAGUGUUCCAUAGUAAA
Small nuclear RNA from Suricata suricatta (meerkat), 104 nucleotides. The record is from Ensembl. NCBI's taxonomy places the organism in Eukaryota, Metazoa, Chordata, Mammalia, Carnivora, Herpestidae.